RNAcentral lists this non-coding RNA (32 nucleotides) under Bombyx mori (domestic silkworm). Lineage: Eukaryota; Metazoa; Arthropoda; Insecta; Lepidoptera; Bombycidae. RNAcentral also lists the same sequence under 1 other name. The record is from RNAcentral.
GCACCACCAGGAGUGGAGCCUGCGGCUUAAUU